GAUGAAGAACGUAGCGAAAUGCGAUACGUAAUGUGAAUUGCAGAAUUCAGUGAAUCAUCGAAUCUUUGAACGCAUAUUGCGCUCUCUGGUAUUCCGGAGAGCAUGCUUGUUUGAGUAUCAGUAAACACCUCAACUCCCUUUCUUCUUGAAAUGGAGCUGGACUUGAGUGAUCCCAACGCUUUACUCAUAAAGUGGCGGGUUACUUGAAAUGCAGGUGCAGCUGGACUUUUCUCUGAGCUAUAAGCAUAUCUAUUUAGUCUGCCUCAAAACAGAUUAUUACCUUUGCUGCAGCUAACAUAAAGGAGAUUAGUUCUUGUGCUGACUGAUGCAGGAUUCACAAAGACCGCUUCGGCUGUCUUUGUAAACUCGAUCUCAAAUCAAGUAAGACUACCCGCUGAACUUAAGCAUAUCAAUAAGCGGAGGA
RNAcentral lists this unclassified non-coding RNA (424 nucleotides) under soil metagenome. Its description in RNAcentral is "partial contains 5.8S ribosomal RNA, internal transcribed spacer 2, and large subunit ribosomal RNA". The stretch from base 1 to 120 matches the Rfam family "5.8S ribosomal RNA", at positions 35 to 154 of the family's 154-position model. The record is from RNAcentral.